Molecule: unclassified non-coding RNA, 597 nt
Filed under: uncultured fungus
Lineage: Eukaryota; Fungi
Description: sequence contains ITS1, 5.8S rRNA gene, ITS2 and 28S rRNA gene
Source: RNAcentral
GAGAUCGAACGUUAAAAAGCUGUCCUCGCUGAGGAGAGACAUCUAUGAGCUCCAGCGAACCUUUGUCACCAAAGGUUACCUGGUGGACAACCGCGAGCGUAGAUAGUUAUCACACUCGUGACGCCACCAAACACUGGGAGGCUGAUUCAUUUGAGAGGAGCUGACCACAGGCCAGCAAAACCCCCAAGGUCCAAGCUCAUCACGGCAAACCAUGAGAGUUGAGGUGUUCAUGAUACUCAAACAGGCAUGCCCCUCGGAAUAGCCAAGGGGCGCAAGGUGCGUUCAAAGAUUCGAUGAUUCACUGAAUUCUGCAAUUCACAUUACUUAUCGCAUUUCGCUGCGUUCUUCAUCGAUGCGAGAGCCAAGAGAUCCGUUGCUGAAAGUUGUAUUGUAUUGCGUUAGACGCGGCAUACAUUCCAUAAGACUUUAUUACAGUGUGUGUGUAAAGACAUAGAACCACGGAAGGAAGACGGGGUCCCCCAUACCGUAGAACUACAGAGGGUGCACAGGUGUGAGUGGAUGUGUAAACAGAGCGUGCACAUGUCCCCAUUUGAGGACCAGCAACAGCCCGUUUGACAAUUCAGUAAUGAUCCUUCC